CAGCAUGGUCUUAGCUUGCUAAGGCCGAUGGCGACCGGCGCACGGGUGAGUAACGCGUAUCCAACCUGCCUUACACUCUUGGACAGCCUUCUGAAAGGGAGAUUAAUACAAGAUGUUAUCAUGAGUAAGCAUUUUCGCAUGAUUAAAGGUAUUCCGGUAGACGAUGGGGAUGCGUUCCAUUAGAUAGUAGGCGGGGUAACGGCCCACCAAGCCUUCGAUGGAUAGGGGUUCUGAGAGGAAGGUCCCCCACAUUGGAACUGAGACACGGUCCAAACUCC
Molecule: ribosomal RNA, 278 nt
Filed under: uncultured Bacteroides sp.
Lineage: Bacteria; Pseudomonadati; Bacteroidota; Bacteroidia; Bacteroidales; Bacteroidaceae
Description: partial 16S ribosomal RNA
Rfam family: Bacterial small subunit ribosomal RNA
Source: RNAcentral